Molecule: ribosomal RNA, 465 nt
Filed under: uncultured Pelotomaculum sp.
Lineage: Bacteria; Bacillati; Bacillota; Clostridia; Eubacteriales; Desulfotomaculaceae
Description: bacterial SSU rRNA
Rfam family: Bacterial small subunit ribosomal RNA
Source: RNAcentral
CCCGCACAAGCGGUGGAGCAUUGUGGUUUAAUUCGACGCAACGCGAAGAACCUUACCAGGGCUUGACAUCCCCUGACCGCGUAUGAAAGUACGUUUUCACCCUCGGGUGACAGGGAGACAGGUGGUGCAUGGUUGUCGUCAGCUCGUGUCGUGAGAUGUUGGGUUAAGUCCCGCAACGAGCGCAACCCCUACGUUUAGUUGCUAACGCGUGAAGGCGAGCACUCUAGACGAACUGCCGUUGACAAAACGGAGGAAGGUGGGAUGACGUCAAAUCAUCAUGCCCCUUAUGUUCUGGGCUACACACGUGCUACAAUGGCCGGUACAGACGGACGCAAAGCCGCGAGGUGGAGCAAAUCCUAAAAAGCCGGUCUCAGUUCGGAUUGCAGGCUGCAAUUCGCCUGCAUGAAGUCGGAAUCGCUAGUAAUCGCAGGUCAGCAUACUGCGGUGAAUACGUUCCCGGGCCUU